RNAcentral lists this ribosomal RNA (322 nucleotides) under uncultured eukaryote. Its description in RNAcentral is "partial 18S ribosomal RNA". It matches the Rfam family "Eukaryotic small subunit ribosomal RNA", at positions 1470 to 1796 of the family's 1831-position model. The record is from RNAcentral.
CCCUUAGGUGUUCUGGGCCGCACGCGUGCUACACUGAGUGGAUCAGCGGGUCAGGUUGCGCGAAAGCGUUUCCUAAUCUUGAAAUCCGCUCGUGAUGGGGAUUGACGGUUGCAAUUUUCUGUCAUGAACGAGGAAUACCUUGUAAGCGCGAGUCAUCAUCCCGCGCUGAAUACGUCCCUGCCCUUUGUACACACCGCCCGUCGCUCCUACCGAUUGAGUGGUCCGGUGAGGCUUUGGGAUCUGAGCGGAAAGAGCGUUUCGCUCGUUCUGCCCGGAAAACUCAGUCGAACCUUAUCAUUUAGAGGAAGGAGAAGUCGUAACA